RNAcentral lists this transfer RNA (72 nucleotides) under Geobacter pickeringii. It matches the Rfam family "tRNA". From Rfam's summary of the family: Transfer RNA (tRNA) molecules are approximately 80 nucleotides in length. Their secondary structure includes four short double-helical elements and three loops (D, anti-codon, and T loops). The record is from Rfam by way of RNAcentral. Lineage: Bacteria; Pseudomonadati; Thermodesulfobacteriota; Desulfuromonadia; Geobacterales; Geobacteraceae.
CUGGGUGUAGCCAAGCGGCAAGGCACCGGAUUUUGAUUCCGGCAUCCCACGGUUCGAAUCCUUGCGCCCCAG